CGCCCACGUAGCCUCCCGCACACCCGCAUCAAUCGCUAAUCCAUCGAUCCUCCACACGUGUCGUUCCUCCCGCAGCCUCCCGUCCCUCAUCGCGCCCUUCGCUAGGGAGCUGCCGCCCGUCGGGCCGUUCCUCCCGCAGCCUCCCGUCCGUCGUCGCGCCCUUCACCGCGGGAGCUGCCGCCCGUCGCGCCUUCCGCCGCAGGUCACCGCGGGAGCCGCCGCGCCCUUCUCCGCGGGAGUCGUCCGAGCCGCUCAGCUUGGAGUCCUCAACUGCCGUCGCGCACACAGGUGGCGCGACGGAGGGGGAGUACGAUGAGGUUCUGGGGCAGCUCUCCUCUCUCACGCAAAACGUGCAAGCACACACCGGAAACCCGCGCAACCAGUGGGACCUCAUGGACCGCUAACUCCAGGUGAAUUUGGUUAGAUUCUCGAGCUGGAGGAGCCCAUCGCGUGGAUGAAGGUCAUCCAUGUCACCGGGACCAAAGUUGAAUCACGAGAUAACAUUUGGUGCCAAGGAUUCGAGAAGGUGAACUAAUACCAAGAACCAUGUCGUCGGAUGAUUCUGGAAGAGAUGGUCCUGAUAGUCGAGAUAAACGGUGCAUUGGGUGAACUUGGUACUACAGAGAUUUCCACAUUCAUUCUAUCACAUUACUCAUUUGCUUCGUGAUGUACAUGAAUGGCGGCAGAUGGUUGAGGAUUGAGGGAAUGUAGAUGCGACUAGCGAGCACUUACUCGGAGGUGCUUUCAGAUGAUGGAUUAAUAAGACUGAGGGCGGGAGAAGGGAGGCCGGGCGGCGCCGAAGGCGGAGCUCUGCUGCGAGCAUGGCACGUAGAGGCUAUUGCUGCUAGCCCCAUGUUGGCAGCCCCGCGCGAGCGCCCUGCAGCCGCAUCACCGAGCGACAACCCCGCCGCCACACGCCCGCACUAGCGCAACGCCACCGCAGUGCCAAGCCACGGCCCCGCUGUUCUUGACCGGAGGUCGCCGACGCCUUCCGCAACUUUUGGGUGCACCCAGAUCGGACGCCUCCCUUUUAUCUCCUUGUUGUGUUUGGUUAACAUGUUUCUAUGAAAUUGUAGAUUUCAGUAAGGUUCUGCUGUGUGUUCACAUUAAUUCAGAAAUUGUAUGUAUCAAUCGACUGCAUCUGAUGUUGUGCUUCUCAUGUUCCCUUGAAAGGAUUGCUGGAUGGAAAGAUGUUUUUGCUUUCAGGACUUCUGGUGUGUGUACGACCCUCUAAAUAACUCUCUUUCAUCUCAUGCAGCAGCAAAGGCUUAGAGGAAGGCGCUGCAGCGUGGAUGCACAUGGGAUGUUGCAGGAACAUGAACCUGAUGAUGACCCAUAGUUGGAUGUUUGUGAGAGUGAUACUUUUUUCUUCGGUCGUAAUCCCGGCGUCCUCCUCGCAUCAUUCUGCCGUCGCUGACCAUCAUUAUUCGGCCGUAAUCCCAGCGUCCUCCUGGCAUCACCCUGCUGCGCCCCUGGCCAAUUGCCUGGAGAUACCAUCCAAGCGCGUGUGGCUGCAAAAGUGCUUCAUAUGAUGAAGGAUGGUAUCAUUGACCCAGUGAAAAUGAUCCAAACUGUACUUCAAGGUGCAACAAGUUCUGUACAAUGUUUAUCCGCUGAUCACAACCAUAGAGGUUGCAGAUGAGCAAAAUGGGUUUUGAGGACAGUGCGGCAUUGUGUUUGCACUUUUUUUGAUAGAAUGGAAUGCAUGUCUCACAUGACCAGUUCUAAGAAAUACAAGCAUAGUUUGAGGUAAACUGGUCAGAAAACUAAGGUUACUUUUAAGUAAGGAUAGGGCCAUGGAUUACAUGAUUGCUUUUCAAAACACAACAUCAGAUGUAGUUGAGCACACCGUUUCGGUUGGAGGAAGUUUGAACUUCGUAUUCAUAUUAAUCCAUGUAUAAGUUUACUGACGAUAACUGUUUCAUCUGAUGGUACUGCUAUUUUGUCACAAAGAACAAGUACUAUGAUAAUGCCUCAUAAAGAAAAAGUUCUUGCGACAGUAAACUGAUGUUGUCUAUUGUUGGGGGAGGUGAGGAUGUCGAUGAAAAGAGAAGAGUUUGUCUUCUGUCCGACAGGAUUUGGUUGUAAAUCUUUGUUCAUUACUCCAGGUGUGCAUUGAGCGUACAUGAUCUGCACGAAAAAAACAAAUUGAUUGGCAAGUUUUGAAGGACAUGGGCAAUGCUCGAUUGGCAAGUUUGGAUUAUAUCUAAAGAUCGACAUGGACAAUGCUCGAUUGACAAAUUUUGAUUUUUUUUUUCUUGCUAGAAAUGAUACCAGCACAAGUGCUUAGCAUGAUAAAUAUGUUCGCCUAUAUUCUGAGUGGAAGUUACAUGGAUUUUUUGGGUACAUUAGUCGACCUCUCAGUUGAUAUUUUAUAUUACUAGAUAAUUGUCCGUAACGGGCCCAUAAAUAUGUGUACACGCACAAUUUUUAUUUGA
Long non-coding RNA from Triticum aestivum (bread wheat), 2438 nucleotides. RefSeq lists it as uncharacterized. NCBI's taxonomy places the organism in Eukaryota, Viridiplantae, Streptophyta, Magnoliopsida, Poales, Poaceae. The record is from RefSeq and is a predicted model, not a curated record. The transcript has 10 exons.